Molecule: long non-coding RNA, 2507 nt
Organism: Strongylocentrotus purpuratus (purple sea urchin)
Lineage: Eukaryota; Metazoa; Echinodermata; Echinoidea; Camarodonta; Strongylocentrotidae
Product: carbohydrate sulfotransferase 11
Exons: 3
Source: RefSeq, a predicted model, not a curated record
ACAUUGUCCAGUGAUCUCAGACUACACGUAUAGGAGGAAGAAGAAGAAAGAAAGAGGAAGAAGAUGAAGAAGAAGGCGAAGAAGGAGGAUAAGAAGAAGAAGAAGUAAUUAAGUGGAUGAUAACUGUGUAAUUUGUUAGUUUUGUGGUCGUUUACACAUAAUAUUUGAUUGGAUUGUUCUCAAUAUCAUUUACUAGUAUGAUAAAAUGUAGUACAUCGCUGAAUCAACGAAAUUCAUUAUUAUUUUAAAAACCCAAUUUUCCGUAAAAAAUAGCAAGGCAAAAGGAAAAGAAUAGUCUUAUCGCGAAGUAUGAAUUGCAAACGAAUAUUUUCUUUCAUUACAUUUAAUCAAAUGGAAUUUUUUUAAUCGUCUAAAUGAUUCAUUGAAACAAUCUGCAUUUUGACCAGGUUCGGAAUAAGGCGUAUCAAACAAUACAUCUAAUUGUUCAUUAUAUUCAACGAACUUUCAUUUUUUUGUUUAAUGAUCUUUUUCGAGACUCUGAUCUUAGGCAGUAUAUUCAUGAUAUAUGUUGAAAAUCAAUAAAUUAAAAAUCCAAAUAACUCUCGUGAGAAUAAACUUGGAAUUACUAAAUCCCUGACAUAACAUGGCUUUGCAAUAUAUUGGAAAAACGAAACUGAACAUAGAAAAAGAGCGAAAUAAAAUAAUGGCGCCGAUUUGCAUAUCAUUACACCUCGGACCACAUGGGUGUUGGUCGAAAUACGGCAUGCAUUGUCGUUACCUUGACUUCAAAUCAGUAGCGCACACAAACACAGAGAACAUGUUAAGCGGGCUAGCCAAUAGUUCACUAUUUGCCUCCAAGCCAUUCGCUUACUUGUUCCAUUCACAGCGGGCCAUUGUUCGAGAUGGAGUUGGCUGGCGACGCAUAGUUGCCCUGUGCAAACAGAUCGAAUUGUCCAUCUCGCUAUGAAGUCGGUUACCAAGGAGACUGUAGUUAAUAUUCAAGUUCCUGACGAAAUGGCCGCCAGGUUCAGACCUGCCUUCUUAACUCGUACCUUCAUCAUUCUCAUAUUCAUUUUUUCUGUCGGUUCGUUGUUCUACACCACUACGCAGCUGCAAACUCCACAUCCCCAGACAGCAAGGAGCAUUACCAGAACGGGUUCAUUGCAACUAAAACACUCUUCUAUUGAUGGAAGCCAGUUGGACAUCUCAAAUAAAGCACAACAUCUCCACGAUUUAAUUAAUCAGCUACCUCAUAUUAAUCCAAAUAACAACUCAUUUCCUACCGGAGGAGAUCUACGAAAAAUCUCGGGGAAAAAUGUAACGUUUGUUUUGCCAAGAAGUCUCCUUAAUCUGAACAAAACGAAACUGUAUCUUUAUCACCAAGGUGACGAAAAAUCAAGAACUCUUGAGGAAGAACAUCUCAUUUUGGUGGAACCUCGACGGGUGAAGCUCUCACGAGAGAGAGCAAUGAAGAGGACGGAGAUGAGAGCAUUGAAGACUCGCACAUGGGAGCAAACCCAAGCGGCCCGUCGGCAGCUUGUGAACGAUGUGUGCGAAAAGCGACCCGAACUCCGUAACGGAACCUUAGCCCACAUCAUCAGCGCAAACCGAACGAAACUGUCGCAUUUCCUCGUGAGCGAUCGCUUCAAGAUCAUCAUCAUGGCUGUCCCGAUGGCAGCUUCCGGCUUCUGGAAGGAAGCUAUCAAUCAGUUGUCUUUCCCUGGGUCGCGAAGUGGUGCUUCGGCUGAAGGUGACGCUUUGAGACUUCUAAGCACCUACGACAAGACUGAAAUCCGUCACCGUCUCCGAGAGUACAAGAAGCUUCUGUUUGUGCGGGAUCCAUUUGCGCGUUUCGUCUCUGCGUACCGCCGAAAGUUUCUGUCACCAUCUGAUUAUUCUAAGCAAUAUGAAACCAUCAUUGCAGAGACUUACCGACAAUGGAACACGGGAGUCAACUCCAACAAAACCUCCAAUAUCAGUUUCCAAGAAUUCGCGUAUUUUGUGGAAGAUUCAUGGGACGACAUUUUCGAGGGUCUUUGGCAGCCGACGUCCAAGUUGGCAAUGCCUUGUGAAAUCAAAUACGACUUCAUCGGAAAACUGGAAGAAGGUCCGCUAGAGUUUAACAACAUGCUUAAAAGCGCGAAAAUACAUUCCCUUGUCAAGUAUAAACCGUCUGGUAAGACACACAGUCAUAAAGGAUCCAUUUAUGAUCAUUAUUUCUUACAAUUAUGGACAAAUCAGAUCAAACGGCUCUAUGAAAAAUACGAAGAUGAUUUUUUAAUGUUUGGAUAUUCAAUACCUACUUAUAUGCAUCCAUGGGUAUUUGGCGGGUUCAACGUUCCAGAACAUUAAUUUUGUUAACAUUUUUGGAAAUAUAUACAUGUUUAUUCUCUGAAAUAGUAAUCAUAAUCUACCGUCUUGUAUUACGAUAUAUUUAACAUAUCUUCGAUAUUCAUGAAAUAUACACUGUUAGUCAUAAUGGUGGAAUAAUUAUUUUCCGGGGGAAAAUAUAAUGAAUUAUUGAUAAUUCAUGGCAUUUUCUUUGU